GAUGAACGCUGGCGGCGUGCUUAACACAUGCAAGUCGAACGAAGCAUUUGCGACAGAUUUUUUCGGAAUGAAGUUGCUUAUGACUGAGUGGCGGACGGGUGAGUAACGCGUGGGUAACCUGCCUUGUACUGGGGGAUAGCAGCUGGAAACGGCUGGUAAUACCGCAUAAGCGCACAAUGUUGCAUGACAUGGUGUGAAAAACUCCGGUGGUAUAAGAUGUAGCCGCGUCUGAUUAGCUAGUUGGUGAGAUAACAGCCCACCAAGGCGACGAUCAGUAGCCGACCUGAGAGGGUGACCGGCCACAUUGGGACUGAGACACGGCCCAGACUCCUACGGGAGGCAGCAGUGGGGAAUAUUGCACAAUGGAGGAAACUCUGAUGCAGCGACGCCGCGUGAGUGAAGAAGUAAUUCGUUAUGUAAAGCUCUAUCAGCAGGGAAGAUAGUGACGGUACCUGAAUAAGAAGCUCCGGCUAAAUACGUG
Molecule: ribosomal RNA, 481 nt
Filed under: uncultured bacterium
Lineage: Bacteria
Description: partial 16S ribosomal RNA
Rfam family: Bacterial small subunit ribosomal RNA
Source: RNAcentral